GAAAUUGAACCAUGUAUCAUAGGUUUAUUAGGGGAAAAAAGUUAUACUUCAAGACCAUAUAUUUGGCACUGUACUGAAGCAAAAAUAUGUGAGUGAAAUUAAAAUGUUAAAACCCAAAUCACCAUGAAAAAGAAAAUGCUCUUUUAAUCAUUUUAAUUCCCUUUUUUGCCCCCAUACAAUUUAAAAUAACUACAGGAAGCAACUCAAGGAGUGUUAAACUUAUGCUACAUGUAAGCUGGAACAAGAGUGAAAGAUGGACCAGGGACUGGAUCUGUACCCCAGGUUAUUGCUACUCUCCCAGGCUGCCAGAUCAGGCGAGUCUUACUAACGUGAGCAAAGGUUCUUGAGACAUUACCAUGCAACAUCAUUGCAAGCUUCCAAAUGCCUUCUAAAAAAUAAUCAUUACACCUUUCAUUCAUGUCACUUUCUGCUUUCUGGUCUGCUUGGAAGAGAUGUUGGUAGUAUUUAAAAAGAAUUGUAUCGUAAUUUGUCCCCAUAGUCAAAUGAGCUUCCUGCUAGUUGACUCCUGUAUUGGUGGCUUGGGCUUCUUUUUGGAGAGCAAAUAAGUUAAAAGCAGUUCCUAAUUUCCAAAUUACUCAUCCUAUGCCUCCGCACAGUAAUGUGAAAGAUACUGACAAGGAAUAAAUAACAUACAAAAUAAGAUGAGAAUGGAUUGAAGGAAAGCUGCACUAAAACUUUUAAAUAGUAAAGGAUAGAAAGCUUAACUGAUGCUGAUGAACUGCUGGGUAUGUGUUUUUGCUGGACUAUACAGUGCCACUCUAACAUGGAUAGAGGAGUAGAAACCGAUUGAAUGUCCAGUCCAAAGGCUGCCAAGGAAGUGGGAUACAGGUCUUGAUCAAUAAUUCAAAUGUUACAUCAACAGUACUCACAAGAAGAAUACAGCUCUUUCCUUGGUUAAUAUAUUUUGCAUAGCAAUAUUUCAAAGAAUUAACAGCACCUUUUACAUAAAAAUUCCAAACAUAUUUAUCUAGUGAACAAUAAGAUCUCAGCAUCUCUAAGAAGUAUUUCUGCAGAUGUACAGUACUGUAUUUAUAUAGAUAUAGAUACAGAUAUAUCUCAAAGUGAAUUUACACUGUGACCUGGUGAUUAGUCCAGCAGUGGAUGAACCCACAGGGUAAGUCUUCAGGAGAAUAUACUGCCUUUGGUGGGUGGCCAGUUACAUGGCAUGAUUGCAUAGGGGAGCCCCAUCGGGCAGCAAAAGACAGUUUAGCAUCCCAUUAAGCAAGCACAGCAUGCUUAGGUCGUUCCUGUAAGAUAUAAUAAACUUCCAAAUUUUCAUGGCUAAUACAGUUCUAAUUUUCACAAGUUGCACACAUUGCAACCUUCUCUUUGUGCCUUAAAGACACAGAAGAGGAAGGAAAGAAGGAAACUUAUAUCCUAUCCCUGCUUCCAAACAGAAAUCAAGUAGCACCACAGAUUUAGGCUGGUAAGAGGUGUCCA
RNAcentral lists this long non-coding RNA (1461 nucleotides) under Taeniopygia guttata (zebra finch). Its description in RNAcentral is "lncRNA (ENSTGUG00000026964.1)". Lineage: Eukaryota; Metazoa; Chordata; Aves; Passeriformes; Estrildidae. The record is from RNAcentral.